This 507-nucleotide ribosomal RNA is filed under the name uncultured bacterium. RNAcentral's name for it is "bacterial SSU rRNA". It matches the Rfam family "Bacterial small subunit ribosomal RNA", at positions 48 to 552 of the family's 1533-position model. The record is from RNAcentral.
UGAACACAUGCAAGUCGAGCGAGAAGCUCAUGACGGAAUCUUCGGAGGACGGAUUGAGUGGAAAGCGGCGGACGGGUGAGUAACGCGUGGGUAACCUGCCCUGUACAGAGGAAUAGCCAUUGGAAACGAUGAUUAAUGCCUCAUAAGACUACAGUAUCGCAUGAUACAGUAGCCAAAACUCCGGUGGUACAGGAUGGACCCGCGUUAGAUUAGCUAGUUGGUAAGGUAACGGCUUACCAAGGCGACGAUCUAUAGCCGACCUGAGAGGGUGAUCGGCCACACUGGGACUGAGACACGGUCCAGACUCCUACGGGAGGCAGCAGUGGGGAAUAUUGCACAAUGGGCGAAAGCCUGAUGCAGCAACGCCGCGUGAGCGAAGAAGGUCUUCGGAUCGUAAAGCUCUGUCCUAUGGGAAGAACACAAUGACGGUACCAUAGGAGGAAGCCCCGGCUAACUACGUGCCAGCAGCCGGGGGUAAUACGUAGGGGGCAAGCGUUAUCCGGAAUC